Molecule: ribosomal RNA, 549 nt
Filed under: Triticum aestivum (bread wheat)
Lineage: Eukaryota; Viridiplantae; Streptophyta; Magnoliopsida; Poales; Poaceae
Description: partial small subunit ribosomal RNA
Source: RNAcentral
AUGGCUGCUUCCAGUUCCCGAUCUGCAGAAGAAACCUCCCAGGCGGCAAUUGACGUCCAUACGAUGAGGCCGCACAAUGAGGGAAGAGACUUUGAUAGUGGAGUUGGCAAUCCUGUUUUUUUGGACAGUGGUGUUUAUGAAGACAAGGCCCCAUUCUCCUUCAAGAGGGCAAAUACUACUGUGAAUGACAUAUCUAUUUUCUGCAUUGAUGAGCCUGACGAUGCCCCAUUAUCCUUCACGAGGGCAAGUACCUCUGUGAAGAACAGGCCAUCGGUUGUGAAUCCUACUAUGUUUGACAAUGAUAAUGACAAGGUCACGUUAUCCGUCAGGAGGGCAAGCACCUCUGUGAAGAACAAGCCCUCGGAUGUGAAUCCUGUUAUCUUUGGCAAUGAUGAGGACGAGGUCCCAUUAUCCUUCAAGAGGGAAAGUACCUCUGGGAAGAACAGGCCCUCGGUUGUGAAUCCUGUUAUGUUUGGCAUGAUGAGGACAAGGUCCCAUUAUCCUUCAAGAGGGCGAGUACCUCUGGGAAAAACAGGCCCUUGGUUGUGA